AAGGGUAGAGCUCAGUGGCAGAGCUUGUGCUUAGCAUGCACAGGGUCCUGGGUUCAAUCCCCAGUACCUCCA
This 72-nucleotide transfer RNA is filed under the name Camelus bactrianus (Bactrian camel). It matches the Rfam family "tRNA". From Rfam's summary of the family: Transfer RNA (tRNA) molecules are approximately 80 nucleotides in length. Their secondary structure includes four short double-helical elements and three loops (D, anti-codon, and T loops). Further hydrogen bonds mediate the characteristic L-shaped molecular structure. tRNAs have two regions of fundamental functional importance: the anti-codon, which is responsible for specific mRNA codon recognition, and the 3' end, to which the tRNAs corresponding amino acid is attached (by aminoacyl-tRNA synthetases). tRNAs cope with the degeneracy of the genetic code in two manners: having more than one tRNA (with a specific anti-codon) for a particular amino acid; and 'wobble' base-pairing, i.e. permitting non-standard base-pairing at the 3rd anti-codon position. RNAcentral also lists the same sequence under 1 other name. Lineage: Eukaryota; Metazoa; Chordata; Mammalia; Artiodactyla; Camelidae. The record is from Rfam by way of RNAcentral.